RNAcentral lists this ribosomal RNA (301 nucleotides) under uncultured bacterium. Its description in RNAcentral is "partial 16S ribosomal RNA". It matches the Rfam family "Bacterial small subunit ribosomal RNA", at positions 509 to 807 of the family's 1533-position model. The record is from RNAcentral.
CAGUCGCCGCGGUAAUACAGAGGGUGCGAGCGUUAAUCGGAUUUACUGGGCGUAAAGCGUGCGUAGGCGGCUUCUUAAGUCGGAUGUGAAAUCCCUGAGCUUAACUUAGGAAUUGCAUUCGAUACUGGGAAGCUAGAGUAUGGGAGAGGAUGGUAGAAUUCCAGGUGUAGCGGUGAAAUGCGUAGAGAUCUGGAGGAAUACCGAUGGCGAAGGCAGCCAUCUGGCCUAACACUGACGCUGAGGUACGAAAGCAUGGGGAGCAAACAGGAUUAGAUACCCCCGUAGUCCCUGUCUCUUAUAC